CCAAAUUUUGGGCCAGGAAUUCCCAAAUUUUGGGGCUGGAAUUCCCAGAUUUUGGGGGAAAAUUCCAGGUUUUUGGGGUUUGGAAUUCCCAGAUUUUGGG
This is a non-coding RNA of Turdus rufiventris (rufous-bellied thrush), 100 nucleotides long. NCBI's taxonomy places the organism in Eukaryota, Metazoa, Chordata, Aves, Passeriformes, Turdidae. The record is from the annotation of a GenBank genome assembly.